GCGGGGAUCAAAACACGGCCCGGUUGGUAGUCCGGGCGCGGCGGUAGCCGUCAGUAACCUGCCUCCUAAGGUUGUCCGUUCCCCG
This 85-nucleotide non-coding RNA is filed under the name Anaerotruncus massiliensis (ex Togo et al. 2026). Its description in RNAcentral is "yjdF RNA". It matches the Rfam family "azaaromatic riboswitch aptamer (yjdF RNA)", at positions 6 to 91 of the family's 101-position model. Lineage: Bacteria; Bacillati; Bacillota; Clostridia; Eubacteriales; Oscillospiraceae. The record is from RNAcentral.